AGCGGCGGAUGGGUGAGUAACACGUGGGGAACCUGCCCCUAAGUCUGGGAUACCAUUUGGAAACAGGUGCUAAUACCGGAUAAUAAAGCAGAUCGCAUGAUCAGCUUUUGAAAGGCGGCGUAAGCUGUCGCUAAGGGAUGGCCCCGCGGUGCAUUAGCUAGUUGGUAAGGUAACGGCUUACCAAGGCGACGAUGCAUAGCCGAGUUGAGAGACUGAUCGGCCACAUUGGGACUGAGACACGGCCCAAACUCCUACGGAGGCAGCAGUAGGGAAUCUUCCACAAUGGACGCAAGUCUGAUGGAGCAACGCCGCGUGAGUGAAGAAGGUUUUCGGAUCGUAAAGCUCUGUUGUUGGUGAAGAAGGAUAGAGGUAGUAACUGGCCUUUAUUUGACGGUAAUCAGCCAGAAAGUCACGGCUAACUACGUGCCAGCAGCCGCGGUAAUACGUAGGUGGCAAGCGUUGUCCGGAUUUAUUGGGCGUAAAGCGAGCGCAGGCGGAAAAAUAAGUCUAAUGUGAAAGCCCUCGGCUUAACCGAGGAACUGCAUCGGGAACUGUUUUUCUUGAGUGCAGAAGAGGAGAGUGGAACUCCAUGUGUAGCGGUGGAAUGCGUAGAUAUAUGGAAGAACACCAGUGGCGAAGGCGGCUCUCUGGUCUGCAACUGACGCUGAGGCUCGAAAGCAUGGGUAGCGAACAGGAUUAGAUACCCUGGUAGUCCAUGCCGUAAACGAUGAGUGCUAAGUGU
RNAcentral lists this ribosomal RNA (742 nucleotides) under uncultured bacterium. Its description in RNAcentral is "bacterial SSU rRNA". It matches the Rfam family "Bacterial small subunit ribosomal RNA", at positions 94 to 823 of the family's 1533-position model. The record is from RNAcentral.